AUUCCAACUUUUUCAUGUUUGUUCUCUUCGCCGGCGGUCACUUUGCGCACAAAAUGUGCUCUGUAUCUUCCUGGAAA
Caenorhabditis elegans is the source of this 77-nucleotide non-coding RNA. The record is from Ensembl. Lineage: Eukaryota; Metazoa; Nematoda; Chromadorea; Rhabditida; Rhabditidae.